AAGGAAGUUAGAUAACAGAAGAUUCUCAUUUCAUAGCAAAACUCUUUAAGUUCACAACAUGACAGAGACUUUGGUGGGAAUUUCAACUUACCAGAACUCCCAUGAUUCCAACACCUAUUACUAUAUAUAUAAGGACAACAUUAUAAGUAAAACACAUAUUUUCAUUGUUAAUAUCCUACCAAACCAGCUUUUAACCCAACACCAAAACCAAAACAAACACCCAAAAUACAAGACCAACUCCAGCAAACCCAAUUCUCCUAGCACCCGAAAACCAUACUCGAACAUCAUCCACCACCGGUCCACACAGGGAGCUCAUAUCGUCAGUUCUGGUAUUGUAGUACACACUGUAGAAUGCAAUCCGGGUUCUCUCAGCUUUGGCAGUGAAGUUCAAAUUACAAGUUUGAAAGGUAGAAUUAGAAUCGGGUGUAUAAUGGAUGUUCUGGGCCUGAUCUCCAGCGAAGGCCAUAAUUGCCAUGGGUUGCUUGCAUUUGUCCCCAGCAUGGCCCAAGGAAAAUGUCAUGGUGUAUGGCUUAUUUGGCGUUGUUUCAACCAUUUGGGAAAUUAUUCCUUCCUUGCCUGAGAGUAAUUCCAUGGCACGUUUGCCUUCUGGAACUGAGAAAUGGUAGGAAUCAAUAUAGCGAACAGCCCUGUUGGAUUCCACAGUCCAACCAGGCAAUGAAGUGAUUUCUUCGUCCAGGUUGGUGGGCAGCAACACCCCUAGUGAAACGUUUCUAAACAUCCACGGACCUUCCUCAAAGUCACCAUUUAGUACUGCAUUGUCUUUGGGUUUAUCAGGAGCAAAAAGCUUCUUGAUGGCAAUGUCAUCAAUGAUAGGCCCACAAGAGGGAUCAUCCUCCAUGCCCAAAUUCCUAAAAAUCAAAUUCGCUUGAUCCUCCUCCGCCUCAAAAGCCCACGCGUAAGGGUCCCACCCUUGCACAUUGUACAAUGUCUGCAAGUCUAUUGUUUGUGAUGCAGGUGGCACUGAUACGUUUAGUGACUCCAGCUGAGCGCACGUGCGAGCCGCACUAAAAGUCACCGAGUAAAUAGACCCUUUCUCCACCGUAAAUACUUGGCUUAUCUCUGCAUCGUUGCCCAAUCUCACUGCGUGUGUACCACCUGGGACGAUGAGGAUCAUCCCACCUUGUUUUUGGCCCGAAGAGACGAGCUCCACUGUGCCCCUUAAUUUCCAACUGGGGAUUUCGAUGGAGCCGUCCGCUAUGGCGUCGCUAGGGAAACCAUUCGAUGGCGGCGUUUCAAAAUCACCGUUAGCCACCAAUCCAUCUUGUCCUAAUAUUGCAGUAGCAAACAAAGCGAAGAAGAGAAUAACAGAACAAGCGAACCAUUUGCUUCUGGUUGAGCUUUGCACCAUCUUACUAUUUCUCGGGCAAGCACUCUCGCUCUCUCUCACCCUCUCUCUCACUGAAAGUGGGUGUGUAUGGACAGUAUUUUUUGGAGAGAAU
RNAcentral lists this unclassified non-coding RNA (1460 nucleotides) under Hevea brasiliensis (rubber tree). The record is from RNAcentral. Lineage: Eukaryota; Viridiplantae; Streptophyta; Magnoliopsida; Malpighiales; Euphorbiaceae.